This 433-nucleotide ribosomal RNA is filed under the name uncultured bacterium. Its description in RNAcentral is "partial 16S ribosomal RNA". It matches the Rfam family "Bacterial small subunit ribosomal RNA", at positions 29 to 507 of the family's 1533-position model. The record is from RNAcentral.
AACGAACGCUGGCGGCAUGCCUAACACAUGCAAGUCGAACGAGACCUUCGGGUCUAGUGGCGCACGGGUGCGUAACGCGUGGGAACCUGCCCUUAGGUUCGGAAUAACUCCCCGAAAGGGGUGCUAAUACCGUAUAAUGUCUUCGGACCAAAGAUUUAUCGCCUUUGGAUGGUCCCGCGUUGGAUUAGCUAGUUGGUAGGGUAAAAGCAUACCAAGGCGACGAUCCAUAGCUGGUCUGAGAGGAUGAUCAGCCACACUGGGACUGAGACACGGCCCAGACUCCUACGGGAGGAAGCAGUGGGGAAUAUUGGACAAUGGGCGAAAGCCUGAUCCAGCAAUGCCGCGUGAGUGAUGAAGGCCUUAGGGUUGUAAAGAUCUUUUACCCGGGAUGAUAAUGACAGUACCGGGAGAAGAAGCUCCGGCUAACUCCGUG